UGUGGCUGCAGUGUGAUCAGCCAACCUCUUGCUCCUACCACCAGACUUUCCUUGCCUGCUGCCAUGAUGGACUGCACUCUUCUUGAACUGCUACAGUCCAUGACCGAAGAAAGUAAAGGCAGAAACUCCAAGGCAGGCCUGCUUGCUACUCCAUGCCGCAUUACCUCUGACCAGGGAAUUUGCAUAGCCAAAAGGUACAGCAGAAACGAUGGAAGAUUGGUGCUUGAUGACUUUUGCAAACUCAUGUUUAACUAUCUGUCUUAUACAACUCAGGACCACCUGGCCAAAGAAUGGUUCCACCCACAGUGGGCUAGAUCCUUCUACAUCAAUGAAAGCAAUUGUGACGAUUCCCCACAGACAUGCCCACAGGUACCUUAGGAGGAAAGGAUGCUAAACUUGGUAAGAAUGGAAACCUGUGUGUUUCCAUUCAACCUGAGCCUGAGGAAGUGUGUUCCAGCCAUUAAGACACAGCUGCCUGGCUAACACAGCUCUUGCUGGAAGCCUGCAGCAAGCUCUGC
Molecule: long non-coding RNA, 518 nt
Filed under: Cricetulus griseus (Chinese hamster)
Lineage: Eukaryota; Metazoa; Chordata; Mammalia; Rodentia; Cricetidae
Description: lncRNA (ENSCGRG00015041369.1)
Source: RNAcentral